This 4923-nucleotide small RNA is filed under the name Pongo abelii (Sumatran orangutan). Its description in RNAcentral is "retained intron". The record is from RNAcentral. Lineage: Eukaryota; Metazoa; Chordata; Mammalia; Primates; Hominidae.
GGCAAAAAUCUUUAAGACUCUUAGAAAAAAAUAAAAUAGUAAUGUGUCAUAUAAAGUAAUCCUGAACUGAUGCAGUCAGAGUGUGUGUUUAACUCACAAAUGCAUGCAGAGCCUAAUAAUCACAAUUUCUCUCAUCCAGUGGGUGUUCUCAUCAUAUUGGAGAACCGUACUCAUCCUCCAUUUCUCCAUGCAUUUGUAAUAGAAAGGCCUCAGAAGUAGCACUGAACCUUCAUUUUACUAGCAUUUUUAUAUACGUUUAUUUUUAAACAGUUUAGUUAAAAAUUUACAUACUGUGGAAUUCACCCAUUUUUAAUUUGUAAUUCAGUAAUUUUUAGUAAAUGUACAGUCUAGUUUUGGAAAUUUUUCAUCACCCCAAAAGUCCCAGCUCCAGGCAGCCACUAAUCUUUCUGUCUCUAGAUUUUCCCUUUCUGGGCAUUUCAUAUAAAUGGAAUCAUACGAUAUGUGGCCUUUUGCCUCUGGCUUCUUUCAUUCAACAUACAUGUUUUUGAGGUUCAUUCAUGUAGUGUGUAUCAGCAAUCUUUUCCUUUUUAUUUCUGAAUUGUAUUCCACUGUUUGUAAAUGCAUUUUGCCUACCCAUUUACCUGUUGAUGGACAUUUGGGUUGUUUCCACUUUGUGGCUGUUAUGAAUUAUGCUGCUUCAUUUAUUUAGAUCUUUCAUUUUAUCAGCAGUGUUUUAUUGUGCAAGUCUUAUAUUUAUUUUGUUAAAUCUCUUAAGUAUUUUAUUUUUGUCACUGUGAAUAUAAUUGUUAAUUUCAUUUUCAUGUUUACUAUGUACUCAGAUUGUUGUAUACAGAAUUUCUGUAACCUUACUGACCUCAUUUAUUAAUUCUAGUAGUUAUUUUGUGGAUUCCAUAGGAGUUUUUACAUACAGGAUCAUAUUGUCUUCAAAGACAGUUUUUACCUUUUUCUUUCUGAUGUGAAUGCCUUUUAUUUUCUUUUUCUUGCCUAAUUGCUCUGGCUAGAUUCUCCAGUUCAAUGAGAUGGAGAAGUGUAGAGAACAGACAUCCUUAUCAUCUUCCUGAUCUUAGGGAGAGAGUAUCCAGUCUUUCACCAGUGAAAUGAGAAUAACAUUAAUUGUAGGUUUUUGUGGAUGUCUCUGAUCAGUUUAAAUAUGUUUACUUUUAUUCCUAAUCAGGAAUGAAUGUAGAAUUGUAUCAGAUGCUUUUUCUGCAUCUAAUGAGAUGAUCGUGUUGGUUUUGUCCUUUAUUACUGUGGUAUGUUACUACAAUUGACAGAUGUUAAACCAACUUUGCAUUCCUGGAUAAUUUGGUUUACUCAUAUUUUUAUUGAUUUUUACACCUAUAAUCAUAAGGGAUAUUGGUCAAUAAUUGUCUUCUGAUUUCCCUGGCUGACUUUGAUAGCGUGGCAAUUCUGGCCUCAUUGGAAAGGACAACAACUAUAAAAGACAGGAGGGAGGGAAUCGUUUGCCACAGCUUCAGUUGGUAGUGAACAGUCCCACUCUCCCCAUUCACUUCUCAGUAUUGCCAUGUGGUGUGUCAGUAGAAAGAUUACCUUAUUCUUAAUACCUUGACAAAAGAGCAGUAGAAUGGAGUCUAGACGGAUUUUCUACCACAAACCAUUCGAAUGUAAAAAGUAUGAGUGAUGAGCUUCUAUUAUCUGGCAAAUAUCCAUGUAUAAAAGACCAUCUCCUAUUAAAUGCUAAUUUAGUUUAUCUACAAGUCUGUAAUAUUUUAGAGUUGCUGGAAUCCAGUAAAAUUUCCUUAUACAGAUUUGGAAGGCAGCCUAGGUGUGCAGAAUACUAAAUUAUCUAGUUUACCUUUCCUUCCCUUUCUCUCUCAGCAUUUUUCUAUGUUGUAAUCAUUUUCUUUCCAUUUUAUUGACAGAGGAGGAAGGAAGAGACUUGAGCUGUUGUGUAGCUUCUCUUGUUCAAAUGAUGCUGGAUCCCUAUUUUAGGACAAUUAUUGGAUUUCAGAGUCUGAUACAGAAGGAGUGGGUCAUGGCAGGAUAUCAAUUUCUAGACAGAUGCAACCAUCUAAAGAGAUCAGAGAAAGAGUCUCCUUUAUUUUUGCUAUUCUUGGAUGCCACCUGGCAGCUGUUAGAACAAUAUCCUGCAGCUUUCGAGUUCUCCGAAACCUACCUGGCAGUGUUGUAUGACAGCACCCGGAUUUCACUGUUUGGCACCUUCCUGUUCAACUCCCCUCACCAGCGAGUGAAGCAAAGCACGGAAUUUGCUAUAAGCAAAAAUAUCCAAUUGGGUGAUGAGAAGGGCUUAAAAUUCCCCUCUGUUUGGGACUGGUCUCUCCAGUUUACAGCAAAGGAUCGCACCCUUUUCCAUAACCCCUUCUACAUUGGAAAGAGCACACCUUGUAUACAGAAUGGCUCCGUGAAGUCUUUUAAACGGACAAAGAAAAGCUACAGCUCCACACUAAGAGGAAUGCCGUCUGCCUUAAAGAAUGGAAUCAUCAGUGACCAAGAAUUACUUCCAAGGAGAAAUUCAUUGAUAUUAAAACCAAAGCCAGAUCCACCUCAGCCAACCGACAGCCAGAACAGUGAUACGGAGCAAUAUUUUAGAGAAUGGUUUUCCAAACCCGUCAACCUGCACGGUGUUAUUCUGCCACGUGUCUCUGGAACACACAUAAAACUGUGGAAACUGUGCUACUUCCGCUGGGUUCCUGAGGCCCAGAUCAGCCUGGGUGGCUCCAUCACGGCCUUUCACAAGCUCUCCCUCCUGGCUGAUGAAGUCGAUGUGCUGAGCAGGAUGCUGCGGCAACAGCGCAGUGGCCCCCUGGAGGCCUGCUAUGGGGAGCUGGGCCAGAGCAGGAUGUACUUCAACGCCAGCGGCCCUCACGACACUGACACCUCGGGGACACCGGAGUUUCUCUCCUCCUCAUUUCCAUUUUCUCCUGUAGGGAAUCUAUGCAGACGAAGCAUUUUAGGAACACCAUUAAGCAAAUUUUUAAGUGGGGCCAAAAUAUGGUUGUCUACUGAGACAUUAGCAAAUGAAGACUAAAAUAGGGUGUUUUCUGAACAUUUUGAGGGAAGCUAGCAACUUUUUUCCUCUGAAUUAAAAUUGCUAACCUAGGCGUUUGAAGCUCUAAUAACUUUAUAUGUAAGAAUAAUAGUUGGAAUUUGCACUAAUAUUUAAAAACAUGUUGAAUCAUGGUUCUUUCACACUUAUUUUAAGAGAGAUGUAAAUUUUGUUCCUGUCCUCUUUCUGUCAUUACAGGUCUGGCUUUUGUAACUGUGAUCAAACUGUUCGUGUUCUGUCUGCUACAUUUCUGUCUCCAUCCAUUUUUCCUGCCACCUCCUGAAGGCUAUCUGAUAGUCACAUUAGCAACCCCAGGCAGCAGACAACAGGAAAGUUAGGAAAUUUGUGUUUCGUGUCAUUUUUAGGAACAUCUGAUAAAACCUCCAGCAGGUUUUAGGAAGUAUUCAUGUAUUUUUCUGGUUACUUUCUGUCAUCUCUAAUUGAACUCACCUGAUGAAGGUUCAGUGUUCUGUGGCCAGAAUUUAUUAUUUUAGAUCACCUUCUUUGCGACCUUAGAUCACUGUGUUUUGAAAUCAUGAGUUUGCUUUUAACUUCAUAGGGCUAACUUUAAAAUGAUAUGCACUGUUAAUUUUAAAGCAUUUGCUGCAGAUAAACUUAGAAGUGCCUUUGACUUUAAGAUACAAAUAUUACAGAAGAAAAUAUAAUUUCACUUUUUAAAAUUGGGGUGUGAAAAUCCCAUUGCAUAUUUGAAAUAGGCUUUUCAUACUAAGCUUCAUAGCCAGGAGUCCCCAAAGUCUUGUUCCUCUGAAAGCCACUGGGGUGUGGCCUGUGAGGUGCUGAUUCCUCAGAGGUGCAUGCUGUAGACAGGAGAGUGCCAUCUAUGCCAAAACCCGCCCUCAAAAACAAGGCUUGCUGGGAGGCGUGCUGGGCUUGGCCAUCAGUAUUUCCAGUGUGGUAAACUAUUGCUGGCACUUCCCCCUGGAAAUAACUAAUGAGGUCACGAGUUGGGCACCUGCACAGAUGUCCUCCUUCUCUCAUAGUUCCUAAUGCUUAGGAAUAGAGGAGAAAUAAAAAAUGGAUUCUCUCAAAACACUGCCAUUUGAAUAGCGAGAGAAGUGCUCCCCCAACCCCCAACUUUGGAUGGCAAAGUUGAGGAGAAUGAGCAGACACAGUUGUUUGCUUGAUCUGAAUCUCUCUUAAAGUAUUUCCAAACUGUGUGACAAGAGCCUACCUACCACUGUAGAGGUCAAAGCUGAAGCUUCUUACAGCAGUGAAACGGGGCACUGCCUACCCCACACGCCUCAUUCCCCGCUUAAAACAUGGAUACUUUCAAAUUUGACUGUUUCUUAAACUGCCACCCUAAGAUAUGGAAAAUUUUUAAAGUGUCUAGUUAGCUUAUUUCCUUUUCUAAAACAAGUGUUUUCAAGAUAACUAUUUUACCUUUAUAUGUACUGAAUAGCUGUUUCUAUUUGAAUUAUUUGCCUUUUAAGAUUUGAUAAUGUCUCUGGGUAUAACAGGACAGGAGUUCUUAAAAAAUAUCUUAAGAAAUUCACUUUAUGGGUAAACCCAAGGUUUUUGCCAACUUGUUGCCUAGAAAAUAAGGGCUAGUUUCAGUUUAUACAAAUAGAAUUAUUAAACAUUUUACAGUCCUUGAUUAGAAACCAGACCCAAUCUCUUCAUAACACCACAGCGUAUCCUACUAUUGACAGUGUAAUCACAAUUCUCCCUUUUUCAUUUAGCUGCUUUUUUAUUAUUACUAAAUGUUUUGGAUUGAGCAUUUUUCCCUCUGUAAUUUUCUUCCCUCACGUUUAUUUUAUUUUAACUCUUGUAGUAUUUUAUUGUUGUUAAUUUACAAGUUUAAAAAUAUUAGGUACUAUUAAUAAUGGUUAAAAAUAGAAAAAUGCAUAUUUUUGUAUGAUAAUCAAAUGUAAAAUAGUUUUAUUUUUGCUGGA